Molecule: non-coding RNA, 53 nt
Filed under: unclassified sequences
Description: Mu-gpT-DE RNA
Rfam family: Mu-gpT-DE RNA
Source: Rfam by way of RNAcentral
CCCUGACAGUGACAUGGUGUUACUGACAUUAACCCAGACAGGAGAUCGACAUG